AUCCGAGCACAACGUCCUCGCCUCAACUCGGAAAGGGAGAUCUGGGGAGCAGCCAUAGUUCACGCCGGAUACAAAUCCUGAAGAAUCCGAAGAGAUCGAAGGUUCUGGUGAAUUGAGGAGUAGUGGGGAGAGAAUUUACUGAGAUUAAAUGUUGUGUUUAUGGAUUGAACAUAAAUCGCGAUCCGUUACUUGAUCUCUGUUCUACGACGAUGAAGAUGAUGAUAUUAGGAUUUAGUUUCGUGUCAGUAGACGGCGUGGAAAAAGAGGAGUGGUUGUUGGGCCCAAAAUUAAAAAAAAA
Molecule: long non-coding RNA, 298 nt
Organism: Brassica rapa (field mustard)
Lineage: Eukaryota; Viridiplantae; Streptophyta; Magnoliopsida; Brassicales; Brassicaceae
Source: RefSeq, a predicted model, not a curated record